UGGGGAAUUUUGGACAAUGGGCGAAAGCCUGAUCCAGCAAUGCCGCGUGUGUGAAGAAGGCCUUCGGGUUGUAAAGCACUUUUGUCCGGAAAGAAAUCCUUGGCUCUAAUACAGUCGGGGGAUGACGGUACCCGGAAGAAUAAGCACCGGCUAACUACGUGCCAGCAGCCGCGGUAAUACGUAGGGUGCAAGCGUUAAUCGGAAUUACUGGGCGUAAAGCGUGCGCAGGCGGUUUGCUAAGACCGAUGUGAAAUCCCCGGGCUCAACCUGGGAACUGCAUUGGUGACUGGCAGGCUAGAGUAUGGCAGAGGGGGGUAGAAUUCCACGUGUAGCAGUGAAAUGCGUAGAGAUGUGGAGGAAUACCGAUGGCGAAGGCAGCCCCUGGGCCAAUACUGACGCUCAUGCACGAAAGCGUGGGGAGCAAACAGGAUUAGAUACCCUGGUAGUCCACGCCCUAAACGAUGUCAACUAGUUGUUGGGGAUUCAUUUCCUUAGUAACGUAGCUAACGCGUGAAGUUGACCGCCUGGGGAGUACGGUCGCAAGAUUAAAACUUAAAUGAAUUGACGGGGUCAUAGCUGUUUCCU
RNAcentral lists this ribosomal RNA (585 nucleotides) under uncultured bacterium. RNAcentral describes it as "partial 16S ribosomal RNA". It matches the Rfam family "Bacterial small subunit ribosomal RNA", at positions 355 to 1375 of the family's 1533-position model. The record is from RNAcentral.